UCCCAGAACUCACCCUCCAAAAAACCACGUGCCCCACAUCCUCCGUCUCCUCCUCUCUUCCGCCAAACAGAUCCAAGAUCCCCAACGCUUAAAAAACCAACCACCGCACUCCCCUCCGCCACGCUCCCCUCCUUCGUCGGGCCGACCUUCUCUGAUCCCCGCCACAGGUCAGAUCCGUCGAGCGCGCCCUCCGCCACGAUCCCCUCCGACGACGACACGCCUUGCUGUCCGCCUCUUGGUAUAGCAGUUAUGUAGCCCAUUACAAGGAAGCAGAAUGUAUGAGAGUGGAAAUGGAAGAACUUCUAUACUCAUAUGGCGUUGAUGUAGUUUUUAAUGGUCAUGUUCAUGCCUAUGAAAGAUCAAAUCGGGUCUAUAACUACUCCUUAGAUCCAUGUGCUCCACUUCAUAUCACAGUUGGAGAUGGGGGGAAAUCGAGAGAAGAUAGAUGUUUCUCAUGCAGAUGAUCCUGGCCACUGCCCAGAUCGAUGGAGUACACGUGACUGGACUGGCAAAUUCUGUUCUUUCAACUUCACCACAGGCCCUGCUACUGACAAAUUCUACUGGGAUCGUCAACCUUACUAUAGCGCAAAGCACAGAGCAAAGUUUUGUGCAACUCUCUUGUGUGCACACGAUUCAACAUUUUUAUAAAUAUUAUUAUAAAAAUUUUCAUGGUGGUGGUUGGGUAUGCGAAUAUGUGGAUGACAAAUGAUUCUUGUGUACUUUCAUGGUGGUGGUUGUGUAUGCGAAUAUGUGGAUGAUAAAUGAUACUUGUGUAGUUUCAUUGUGGUUGUUGUGUAUGCGAAUAUAUCAAUAUGUGAAGUUUAUGCAUCUAUAAGAUUAUGUUGUUUUA
This is a long non-coding RNA of Asparagus officinalis (garden asparagus), 850 nucleotides long. RefSeq lists it as uncharacterized. The record is from RefSeq and is a predicted model, not a curated record. NCBI's taxonomy places the organism in Eukaryota, Viridiplantae, Streptophyta, Magnoliopsida, Asparagales, Asparagaceae. The transcript has 2 exons.